UGGUAGGGAACAUGUUCCCAUAGCUCCAAAAAAGAGCUGUGUAUAUUCCAGUCAGCUGCUGAAUGCACCAUAUGUGCAGGGGACAGGGGGCUUUGCUGCAGCAUCAAAACAGCAAGCCACACCCUUUUGGUCUGUGUAGUUUUGGCAUGAACAUUAGCCACACCUUUCUCCUUGGAUUCAACAAAGUAUUGGGCAUGCAGGGCAGAAGGGGCAAGUUUACAACCAUUAUGAGCCUGCAUUGAUCCAAACUGGGCUAGACAAAACAGUGGAGACCUCACUGCAGUUGUCCAGACGCCUAAGGUGACAACUGAAAGUCAAAGAUGCUUUUGUGUCAGUUGGUUGAGGGGGCUUGUGAAAAGACUUCUGUGGGGAUUAAUUUUCAAACUUUUGAGAGAAAAUACAAUUUUGAGACUCUUGGGUGAAAUUGUUAGAGUCUUUAGAAAGAAAGGAGAAUACUGGUCCUAAAACAAUAGAUAAAGGAAUAAAAAGGGGCAUGAAGUGCAAAAAUGUUUCAGUAGUUGAAAAUGUUGAACCUUAUGUUCCUAGUUUUCUUAGCUAUUGGUCUGUAGCUUAAUAAAACAUUAUCUGAUAAGGAA
Long non-coding RNA from Chelonia mydas (Green sea turtle), 596 nucleotides. RefSeq lists it as uncharacterized. NCBI's taxonomy places the organism in Eukaryota, Metazoa, Chordata, Testudines, Cheloniidae. The transcript has 2 exons. The record is from RefSeq and is a predicted model, not a curated record.